GUGAGAUUUCUGUCUUUAGCCGCUAUUGUAUGUGGUGAGAGGUGAGAACUGUACCACUAUAAUCAUAUAAUUAUUUGUAAUUUUCGGCCGGUUUGGAUAAUAUUUGUGUAAGGUACUUUACGUCGUUGAGCAAAGUAUUAAAUUCUUGGGUUUCAAUCACGUGAUGUUUUCAGUAGCAUAAUUUUACUCAAGUGGGGUACACAAGUACGAUCCAAACUGACCGAAAAUUACCAACAAUUUUAUGAUUAUAGUAGUAUAGUUCUCACCUUCACAUAUACAAUAGACCCAUUGCACUGACGUCACAAAUCUUUAGAGUGUCCUCCAGAUGCUCCCUAACAAUAUCUGUUUGGGUACAACAACCACAUACAGCGCAAAAAUUAACCAUUUUAAUACAAAAUUAUUAUAAACUUUUACAAAAUUUAAUUUGUUUACAAAAGUUAUAUUAUGCAUGGAUUGCUAAUUUGUCUUCCAGAUGCAUCGCCACCGGCGCUGUGACGUCAUGUGCAAUGGGUCUAUAGCGGCUAAAGACAGAAAUCUCACAUGCUGCAGUCGCCAAUCGCCAUUUUGAAAAAUAUUGCAUAAUUUAUUAAAAACAAUCCGUCAAAAUGCUGUUUAGUUGUCGUAUUUAGAAAAUUUACUCGUCUGUACUCGUCUGUCACUCGUCUGUCACUCGGGUGUAGUUUUUGAAUAGAU
Non-coding RNA from Paramuricea clavata, 693 nucleotides. The record is from the annotation of a GenBank genome assembly. Lineage: Eukaryota; Metazoa; Cnidaria; Anthozoa; Malacalcyonacea; Plexauridae.